GGAAAAAUUUAGAGACACGGUUUUCUCAAGGCGAUAUAUUCAAAAUCUCCGAUCUUCAAGACGAUCUCACCAACCUGCAUCAAGGUACNGACAACCACUCUUUACCGAUGCCCUGGGGACUUUCGAUCAAUUGACGCAAGAAUCCAUCUCCAUGAGUCCUCUGUCGUGGUUCUUUUUAAAAUCGUGGUUUCCGAGAAUUAGAGAAACUCGCACUACCUCUCGUCACCUCGUCUCAAUUCAAUUUUGUGGAAGUUGAUAUAAUGCAUCAGGUUGUUUUGGUAUUAAAACUUUAGAUCACAACGAUUUUUUAAUCCUCAAGGCGAUAACUAUUCGAAUAAUCUCCGAUCCUUCAAUGACGUAUCUUACCCAACCAUGCAUCAAGAGUUAUGGAGUAGUUAUGCAACCCUCCCCGUUAAAUUGGUAUCGCUCCCGACACCCAAGCGUUUAUUCCAACCAGCAUAUUACCUCGGUAUAACCCCUCCUUCCGUUACAACACCUCUCUUUUGGGAACAAGCGUCAUUGACCAUAGUUUCGACCACACUCCCGGGAUGCACUCCUCACUUAGAUACUAUUCAAUGACACACGAUGUGCCUGUUUCCUGAGACUGUCCGUCGGGAACUCUUGUCCUCCUCAUCAUAUUCAAAGUCAAGGAUCGGGCUCAGCUUCAGGUUUACUUAGCCGCCUCUUACAACCUAAUCAAUUCUCUACGGUUCGCUCUCAGAUUCUUCUGUUGGAUCCUCUCCCCUCCCUGACAGGACUUUCUCCAUGGUUCUUGGAGGAAAGACGUUCCACCACCAUCCCUGUUGAAUCACCAGACCACCUUCAUUAGCUAUGCAAUUUCAACCUUCUAACAACUAUGGGGCGAGCUCGCAGCCGCGGCAAUGGUUCUUCUCGCGGGGUCGCCGAACCGCUCCUUUCCGGUCGUUGGGCUCUUCACCGCAUAUGCACUCAUUGUGGUGCGUAACAAUCACACCAUCGAUACUGGCUUCAUGAAACACGGCUACCCCUCCCGGUUUAUCAAUACAAAAGCCAAAAGUCAUACUCCAUCAACAACGCUAUGGCUUCUCCUUCGCUCGAAACUCCGUGUUGAUUCUAACUUCUUUGUACCCUCUAUUUGCUACCAGAUUCAGAGUCAAUAUAACCAGAUUCUACAAAUGCUUCAACUCAUCCCUCGUCUGCUUCCGCUCCUACGACCUCUGAUGCCACUCCUCUACCUAACUUAAACUCUGUUUCUUCCUCUCAUCGAUGGUAAGCCAACCUGGUUGAUAUUGGGGUAAUUGAUACGGUAGCUAACUUGCAUCACAUCAUCCAAUUCGCAAUUUCUUUCUACUCCCCCCAUCAUGACUCAAUUGCAACAUACCAGAUACCCAAUAGAACAAACACAGAGACUACUCCACUCAACAAAAACAAAAGAGUGCUCCGACAAGACUCCUAUGAACUCAUAUCGUUAAAAACAUUGAAUGUUAAAUGACAUGCUGGCACGGUUCAUCUAUCUAAAUCCUUAAUUCUCUCUAAUGUUUAUUAUUAUACCUACUUUUCAUGUUAAUUUUAAUAUCUGCUACAAAAAUUUAUAGAUUCUUCUGGCUGUACCUUACUUUACUAACAAAGAUUGUCUAUUAUGCAGAAAAACUCUACAGAGAACGAUUGGUUUAGCUGAAGACGAUACGAGAUCUUUAUGUGCUAAAGUCCAGGCCAUCCCAUCUCCUUCUCAUUUACCUGUAAUUCUGUCCAUCAUUCUAACUUUGAUUUAUGGCAUAGAAGAUUAGGUCACCCUUCUUCUAAUGUUCAUAAAAUCUUAGCUUCUCAUGUCCGUUGUUACUUACACAUUAAAUAAAAAUUCUCCUUGUCAUCUUGUCACAUUUCUAACAAAAAGCGCUUACCAUAUGAUAGUAUUACUCAAUCUAUUAAACCUUUUGAUCUUCUUCAUGCUGACAUUUGGGGUCCUUUGCUACCCCUUCCAUAUGUAAUCAACGAUAUUUCUAACUCUUGUUGACGAUUUCUCUAGGUUUACUUGGGUUUAUCUUCAUGACCCACAAAGUGAAACUAGGUCUCAUGAUGCAUUUUAUCACCUUCACAACACAGUUUUCUACUACUUAAAAUGUUUGCUCACUGACAAUGGUCCUGAAUUUUUGAUGACUGAUUUUUACAAAUCUAAAGGAUCUACACCAAAGGUUCUUGUGUUGAAUGUCCUCAAACAAAAUGGAAUUGUUGAACGAAAACAUCAACACAUACUUAAUGUGGCAAGAUCUCUUUUCUUUCAAUCUCACAGUCCUCAAAAUUUAUGGCAUUUAUCUAUUGCUCAUGCUAUACAUCUCAUUAAUCGACUCCCUCCACCUAGUUUUAAUCAUAACACACCUUAUUUAUCUUUUAUAUAACAAAUGCUGGACUAUGAUAUUGAAAUGUUUUGGCUGCCUUGCGUAUCCUCACACUCUUCUCAAUACUCGUACCAAGUUUUCUCCCUCGGUCUCGCAAUUGUGUGUUUUAGGUUAUAAAGAGAACCAAAGGCUAUCUCUUGUUAUGUUAACCGCUAACUGUCUAUUUUGUUUCAAGGAAUGUAACCUUUCAUGAAAACUCAUUUCCCUUAAAAAACCUCAUGAUCAUCUCAAUCUCCCUCCCAUACCUACUAUCCACCUAACCCUACUGACCUAGAAAAACAAACAAAAAACACACUUAAAUAAUUAUAUUAUGUACCCUCUUGAACCUUAUCAAUCUUCUUUUCUCCUCUCCUACUUGAAGCCGUAGACCCUCCAUCAACCCACCUUUCUCCCAUUCCUUAUGUCACCACCUGCUCCUCCUCUUGCCAUUUUUCUCUCAUCUACCUCUUCUCCACUCUUCCUACUCUCUCCUCUCUAUUCAUAUACCCUCCUAAAAACUGGAUCAAUAUUUUCUCUAGACUCCCCUUUCAACCACCUGUCCGUCGCUAUCUAAUAUUUCCCCUUAUCCCUUCCAAACCAUUGUCUUGUUCAAUUAAAACUCCCCACUCCACCAUCCACCCCUUCCGGGAUAAAUUCCAAUUAUAUUGUUAAUACAAGCAUCCAAAAAAACCUCAUUACUUUCUUUGAGACCAUUACCAGUGCAAUCUCUGAUUGCCAGUCUUUACAUGUCAUUUACUAACAUUAUUUACCUCUCACAUUCUCUAAUGGAUAUGAUAAGCUAAACCCCAAAAUAUUUCCCCCUUUUCUCACUUCAGAAAUAUGUACUCUUAUUACUCGGUUAUUCACCCUUUUGUGGUUUAACACCUUCCUUUGCAUGUAUCACACAAAUAUGGAAUACAACAAUUUCUGGAUGUAGGACUUCAUCUAAGUUGUAUACUCUAUUAUCCUCAUAACCUACCCCAAAAAUGACUGAUACCUAGCACUUUUAUAUACACACUCACAAGUCUUGCAGGAUAAUUCCAAAAUUUAAGGGAGGCUCCCCAAAGACAGGAAUAAAUUACAUUGCCAAGCCAUCUUGGAAAAAUCGAGAUUACAACGCCUUUUGGGUAAAAACAUAGUACCUAAACUAACUUUAGCCAUGUCGAGUAUUGAACCUAGAUACCCCCUCAUAAAACACCUAUCGGCUCUUUUAAACUUGAGUGUAAAGUUGGAUAUUUUUUAUUUAAUAGUAAAUUUAAAUUAUUACUUCUUCUGAUGGCUUGGCUAAGCUGUCAUUGCUUGACACUAGUAGAUUACUAAAAUUAGCGUUCACAUUAUAUAUGUGUUUGUUUUUCAAAGUAGUUUAACAAGGUUGUUAUUCAACACCCAACUUAUAAGGCACAUGAAGCCAAUGGUAGAUCAAUAAUUUCUUCCUAUGAUGAUAGGAAUCGUGUCUUGUCGUUACUAAAGUAAAGAAUACCGAUCACUUUUUGCAAAUAUGGUUUUGAAAAUAGUUUGCGUUUCAGAAGAUGCUAUUUGGACACUUUUCUAUCACAUCCAUUCUUAGUUUUUUAGACCAAACUUGAUCUGCACUACUGUUUCGGAACUCGUGCUCCUUUUCUCGCCUCAUCCAAAUAUUGGCACUCGUCGGUUAACACAAUUAGAUGCCUAUUCAACUAUAAUUUUAGACCGCCCUUUUAUGCAAAUUAUUUAUUCCCUUGCUUGCGUCUCGAGUCAUCUUUCUCUCUCUCUCUUCUUCCUCUCCUCUUAUAAGAGGGAUUUAUUUUGAAGUGAUGAUAUUAUAUAUUAAUAGCAUAUAUAUAUAAAUUGGAUCCUAAUUCUAUACCAAUAGGUUUAUAUAACCUCUAUUCCUCAUACCUUAUCUACUCCAUAUAACACAUGUUAAGGUUUUGUAAACUUUACAAAAAAAGUAUUUAUGGCACUCAAGCAGGUCUAGGUCGAGCCAAUGGAUUUUCUACUAUCGGAAAAUAACUUCUUGUACGGGUCUUCUAAUUUUCUGGAUAUUAUCAUGUUCAGCUCUCAAACUUUAUUUCCAUAUAUUUUUAUGUAAACUAUGUAUAUAUCAUUUCCAACUUUUCUCAUUUUCUACUUAUUUCUAUCGUUCUAUAAUAAAUCCCUUUCUUUUGACUCUCCGCUGGUAUCUGUUGUAUAUCUGCUCUUCUCGCUUACUUAUGAGUCUCUUGUAUUCCAUUUGAAUUUCUUUAUUGUUAUUUAACAGUCUUUCCCUGGUGUAUUUCCCUGAUGUUCAAAAUGCGGUAACCGAUGUCACCAGAGACCACUUUGUUCAAGAGAAAAAUUAGUAACAAGGAGUUUAGUCUAGAUUAAUGAGUGGUUUCUCCUCGUUUCAUUAUUUUUCUUCACUCUCUUACGUACAGUUCUCCGUGAUAAGAGACCGUGAAGGUCCCUUCUACAUUUACUUCCUUGGACUGGAACUCUCUCCUCUUCGGUAACAUCAUUGUGCAAUAAUUUUCCUUACUCAAUCAACGCAAUUACACUCUGGGAGAUAGAUAUAACAAGACUUUCUUAGCAAAAAACAGGUAUGCCGCUUAAACCUUCCCCCUAGGGGCAGCUGCCAUUAGCAGAUAUAUUUAUCCUCUAUUCAAAAACUCUAUUUGUACUGAUUCACCUCUAUUUUCAUGAUUAUCUUAGAUUGCCUAAAUAUUAGAAGGUUCAUUUCAAUCUUCAAAGUUCUCAGUAAGGAAACAGUCACUCUCUAAUAUGUUAAGGACCAAAAUACUAAUUUCUCGUAUAAUAAUCCUGACAUUUCCUGGGUCUUAAUUUUCACUGUAUCACAGAGCAUUCUUAGUUAGUUUCGUUUUCAAACCUACUGACAAUUCAUUUUAGGCUGCUAUGCGGAAUCCUUCAAAUGGGUUUAUUUUAUACAUCUUGAAACUCGGUGCUCAGGGUUUAUUUAUAUCAUACCGAAGUGUAAUGCGGAGGAAUUCGUAGUUUCUUGCGUAUUUUGUGCAUAUCUUUGUAGUGGUGACUGUAUGCCAAGGUUUGGUUGGAUUGGAAGAAAUUAAAUACUUCAACCAAAAAGAAGAGCCAAACUCUUAAGACACCCAACACACGCAGAUCUACAACUGGAUAGAGCAAAUUCAAGUUUUAGAUUUAGUCAAAAUAUCGCUUUGUCUUUUCGUGAGAUGCUACAAAUCCAUGAUCAUUUCCUGGAAAUUCCAAAAAAACAGGUAGAAUUCAAACGGACUGUUUUCCCGUUACCAGCUCUGAGCCUAAAUAUUAGAUAUGCGCUGUGUGAAUUUCAGUGUGCCAAAAAUUGAUGAGCACUUAUUGCCCCGAAGAUCUAAUGGUAUAGCAUUAUCUUAAUCUUUUUUCUCCAAGAAAAAAUCAUUGCCGCAAUUAUCUUGUUCCAGGCAUUUAAGUUAAACCUUUCUCAUUGCAUCUUUUUAAGAUGAUUGUGAAAUUAAAACCAUUUCUGUUUGCCUACAGGUUUUCGCGCUUUUUAAUUGACGAACAAACAGCAACAGUUCUUUCACUUGGCCCACUAGAUUAAUCCCCGAAGCCGUUAUCCAUUUGAAAAUAGCUCCUCAAGGAAACUUAGCACACCAUCGAACUAUUUUUAUAAACUCCAGGUACUUAUGCUCACCAUACUCUGGUUUAACUAUAACAGCAAUAGCAAAUGUUCAUUUUAUUAAAAGAUAAACUUGUCAGGUCUGCGAUCAAAACCAGCUAUUUCCUCACUUCACCCCAAUUCCAUUUGCUCUACGAAACUUAGACCUGGAGCUUUUUCCAACCAUUCAGACACAAAUCUUUAAUUUUGUUUAUCCGCUUCACAGGACCCUUGCUGCUUCCAUGCUAUAUUUUUCCAACUUCCUUACUUUGUCUUUGUCAAGCUUGGCAUGCUAAUAUGCUGCUGUACAUUAGUCCAGCUUGUUGGGGGCAGUAAUUAGCAAAACACUCUCCUCCCUCGUCCUCCUAGUCUAAUAGUCUUUGUUAUCCAAUUGAUGACAGCUGAGUCUCUGGAAGCUGCACUAUUUUUCCUCACAUAUUUUUGUAAGUCGCUAGAUCCAUCUGUAAUAUCACAAAUUUGUUUUUAAUGUGUAUUUACCGUGUUCUAAGCUACUUGCUUGUAAUAACUUAUUUUGAGCGACUCUUUUUUAUGCUCUAUAAUUUACACAACCAUCUUUUGUAAGACGUCUCUUGUGAUUAUGUACGGAUCAUUGAUAUUUAAUGAAAUAAUACAUUCAAGGUUCUCAUCGCAGUUUCACUACCAUUGCAUUUAAUCUUUAGAGUGUGUAAAACUCAUCUACUAUCUUUUUUUCUUUUUCAUUACUUAGCAAUUUAAAACUUGUCCCCUCCUGCAAAUUUAUCCUUACAUCCUUGUGUAUUUUAUAAUUAUAAUAGUAUAGCCGAAAUCGUUUACUCGAUAUAGUCAUAUAUAAAUUUUGUAUCUUUUUCAAAGACUUACAACAUAACGAUAUUGACUAUAUUUUUCCUAUCAGUCGUCGUGACUACCUCUCGCUCACUGAUCUAACUAGUAAAACCACCCGCGCCGUGUUCCCAGGCCUCUACGGUUCAACGUUUGCUUUUACUCCCUCCUCAGAUAGAGUGUCGAACCACUAAUUUAACCGUAUCACGGUCUCCCGUAAAGCACUCACGGUAUGCCCACUUACGCUCAGCUCAAUAGCUCUAGGCACACAAGUGAUUAUACAUUGUUAUACCAACUUCAACACUCGUAAAAAAAUUCAAAUUGUGUUAAUGGCCUUGUUGUCCAGAAUGUUGGAACAACGAGAGUGAAUAAGGGAGGAUUUUUCUCUUGUGCACUUGUAAAGAUCAUCAAGGGGAUAUCCAUAUUGAUUUGUGGUUUCUUAUUUAGAAUAUUGUAGGAUAGGUCUGGAGUGGCUGUGGUGGCAAGACCGUAAAAAUUGCAUAGUGGAACACAUCACUCACAGGGGAACUCGCCCGUGUAACAAUAGGACGCCCGUGGAAACGUUGGGACUGGUAAGUACUUCCAUCCCCAUUGUUAAGGAAAAACAUAAUAUACCAGUUGUUUGUCACUCUCUUCCAACAUUAUAUCAAUACGAUCUCACCAACCUGCAUCAAGGUACCCUCGACGUUUCCACCUAUUUUACCAAACUCACAUCUCUUUGGGAACAAAUUGACGCAUUUCGACCAACUCGGGAUUGUACUUGUGCUAUUCCAUGCACUUGUGGCGCUGCCUCGGAUCUUCAUCGAUACAAAGAUCAAGAUCGUGUUAUCAAGUUUCUUAAGGGCCU
Molecule: long non-coding RNA, 7609 nt
Filed under: Lathyrus oleraceus (garden pea)
Lineage: Eukaryota; Viridiplantae; Streptophyta; Magnoliopsida; Fabales; Fabaceae
Description: Pisum sativum (pea) long non-coding RNA (PSAT_LNC032809)
Source: RNAcentral